This 544-nucleotide ribosomal RNA is filed under the name uncultured Desulfobulbaceae bacterium. RNAcentral's name for it is "bacterial SSU rRNA". It matches the Rfam family "Bacterial small subunit ribosomal RNA", at positions 9 to 526 of the family's 1533-position model. Lineage: Bacteria; Pseudomonadati; Thermodesulfobacteriota; Desulfobulbia; Desulfobulbales; Desulfobulbaceae. The record is from RNAcentral.
GAGUUUGAUCCUGGUUCAGAAACGAACGCUGGCGGCGUGCUUAACACAUGCAAGUCGAACGCGAAAGGGACUUCGGUCCCGAGUAGAGUGGCGCACGGGUGAGUAACGCGUAAGUAAUCUACCCCUGUAUCUGGAAUAACCCACCGAAAGGUGAGCUAAUACCGGAUACGUUUAUCUUGAUGCGAAUGAUGAUAAAGAAAGGUGGCCUCUUCAUGAAAGCUACCGUACAGGGGCGAGCUUGCGUACCAUUAGCUGGUUGGUAGGGUAAUGGCCUACCAAGGCGACGAUGGUUAGCGGGUCUGAGAGGAUGAUCCGCCACACUGGAACUGAAACACGGACCAGACUCCUACGGGAGGCAGCAGUGAGGAAUAUUGCGCAAUGGGGGCAACCCUGACGCAGCGACGCCGCGUGGACGAUGAAGGCCCUUGGGUCGUAAAAUCCUGUCAGAUGGAAAGAAAUGUACAGGUGUUAAUAUCCGCCUGUAUUUGACGGUCCCAUCAAAGGAAGCACCGGCUAACUCCGUGCCAGCAGCCCGCGGUAAUAC